This is a long non-coding RNA of Ictalurus punctatus (channel catfish), 1805 nucleotides long. NCBI's taxonomy places the organism in Eukaryota, Metazoa, Chordata, Actinopteri, Siluriformes, Ictaluridae. The record is from Ensembl.
UAAUAUAUAGAGAGAGAGAGAGCACGAGAGAGAGAGAUAUAAAUACAGAAAUGUAGACACCACUGAACAAGGAAUGUACUGAGAAGACUUCCUUAGGGAUAAAGCUAAGGGAUUAUUAACUUGCACUAAAACAACAACAAAAAAUAUGGUUUAAUAAAAUACUUGAUUCCAUGAGUCAGUUUAUUUUAUUUUUUCCUUUGUUUUUGAUUUCUGUAAAAUAAGAGGCAACUUUUUUUGUAUUUAUUAUGAAUCGAAGCUAUUUUUUAAAAGAAUGUUGACAAAAAAACAAAAAAAAACAAACAAACCCAGAAGAACGUCAAGCUGCUUCAGAAGGCUGCGGGUUGAACAGAAAAUGUUACUUUCUAAAAAAUUAAAAUAAAAAAAAAAGAAAAACGUGUAAAUAUCCGUCUAAUUUGAAAAGAAGAAGAAAAAAAAAGGACUAAUUAGAAAUAUUUGACCAAAUGCUACCUUAACUUCUUUAGAGCUAUUUGUUUGGGUGACGUGGUUUUUUUUUUUGUUUUGUUUUUUUGUUUUGUUUUGUUUUUUUUUUUUGCUUCUCAAAAAAAAUUCUCCAAAAAAAAUUAAAGAAAAGAGUAAAAUUAAAAAAAUAAUAAUAAUAAUAAUAAAAAAAGAAGAGUAUUUAAGGAUUUAUGGAUGCCAGGAUAUGAGUUUGAUUUUGAGAGUCUAUGUGUUGUAUAAAAUUGUACAGAAUCUGUAAAGAGGAAAAAAAAAAAAAAAAAGAAGAAAAAAAAGACAGAAAUGAAUUCAGAGUAUUUUUGUUGUAUUUAGAAUGUAGAGUGAAUAUUGUCUAAAAUUAUGACCACUUGAAGAAUAAUUCUGUACUUUCAUUUUCUUUUUACACGUUUUGAUUUCUUUUCUUUCUUUCUUUUUUUUUUUGCAAUCGACUUCUUGUGAUCCGUGUUAAUCAGCGAAACGAAGUGCGCUGUGAAUUUUCUUUCGCGUCCAUGCAGACAGAUUUGAGGAGCCCGAGCAAGCACGAGGGACUGUUUUUGUUUUCUUUCCUUCUUCUUCUUCUUCUUCUUCUUCCUUUCCUUUAGUGACUGCGUGUAGUGUCCAUGAACUUUGGCGAGAAAUCGAAAUGCCUUUCACACGUUUGCUUUGACAUUAAGAAAUGUAAAAAAAAAUUAUGCUCUUUUUUUUGGUUGUUUACAUUAUUUUAAGAAAGAUGCUGUUUAGUGUUUGACUAGUUUGGAAAUCAUGGUAUGAUGUUUCUUUUUCUUUUUUUUCUUUCUUCCGAGCUUAAUAAAGAAUUCAGAACCUGGUCCGAGCACUUUGCUUACGGGUUUGAAAUGAAGUUUUUGAUGUGUGCACAAGUGAAAGUAAAAUUUGUUGGACUACAUUUUGCUGGUAUAUUCAAAAGUCCUGAGCUUGUAAUAUAAAUGGCAUGAUGUAUUUUUUAAAAAAAAAAAAGAAAAAAAAAAAAACUUUCGAAUGAAUCAAAUUGUACAUAAUUUCUCAAUGACUGGUUGUAAUGAAAUUUGUUUCUUGGAUAUUUUUUCCCCGCUCUUGUACAAUAUUCAGACGUUAUUAACAGUAUUUGUCAUUUCUCGGUCCUGUACAGUAGUAUACAAUGUCAAAAAUGAAGACUUUUUUGAAAGUAUAAAAAAAGUGUAAUGGGUUUUUUUUUUUUUUUUUUUUUUUGGAGUUUGUGGAAUCAGAUUUAGUGAAUAUUUACAAGAAUAAAUAUUUUACAUCUUUACCCCGGUCUCCUCCGUCGUCGUUCGUCCUGAAGAUGAUCACAGAUCGCAAUCCGGUUUGUUCAAUUUUUGUAGUGUCUUCUUGUU